RNAcentral lists this ribosomal RNA (460 nucleotides) under uncultured bacterium. RNAcentral's name for it is "partial 16S ribosomal RNA". It matches the Rfam family "Bacterial small subunit ribosomal RNA", at positions 338 to 795 of the family's 1533-position model. The record is from RNAcentral.
CCUACGGGAGGCAGCAGUGAGGAAUAUUGGUCAAUGGACGAGAGUCUGAACCAGCCAAGUAGCGUGAAGGAUGACUGCCCUAUGGGUGGUAAACUUCUUUUAUAUGGGAAUAAAAUGUUCCACGUGUGGGAUUUUGUAUGUACCAUAUGAAUAAGGAUCGGCUAACUCCGUGCCCGCAGCCGCGGUAAUACGGAGGAUCCGAGCGUUAUCCGGCUUUAUUGGGUUUAAAGGGAGCGUAGGUGGUUUGGUAAGUCAGUUGUGAAAGUUUUCGGCUCAACCGUAAAAUUGCAGUUGAAACUGGCAGUCUUGAGUACAGUAGAGGUGGGCGGAAUUCGUGGUGUAGCGGUGAAAUGCUUAGAUAUCACGAAGAACUCCGAUUGCGAAGGCAGCUCACUGGACUGCAACUGACACUGAGGCUCGAAAGUGUGGGUAUCAAACAGGAUUAGAUACCCCUGUAGUC